CGGGCUGUGGCCUAGUCAGGUAAGGCGCUUGUCUGGGGGACAAGAGAUCCCGAGUUCAAAUCUCGGCAGCCCGACCC
This 77-nucleotide transfer RNA is filed under the name Kribbella soli. Its description in RNAcentral is "tRNA-Pro". It matches the Rfam family "tRNA". Rfam says of the family: Transfer RNA (tRNA) molecules are approximately 80 nucleotides in length. Their secondary structure includes four short double-helical elements and three loops (D, anti-codon, and T loops). The record is from RNAcentral. Lineage: Bacteria; Bacillati; Actinomycetota; Actinomycetes; Propionibacteriales; Kribbellaceae.